AAACUCAAAGGAAUUGAGGGGACCCGCACAAGCAGCGGAGCGUGUGGUUUAAUUCGUUGCUACACGAAGAACCUUACCUGGGUUUGACAUAUAGGUUGUAGGGAACUGAAAGGGACGACCCUUCGGGGAGCCUAUACAGGUGUUGCAUGGCUGUCGUCAGCUUGUGUCGUGAGAUGUUCGGUUAAGUCCGCUAACGAGCGCAACCCUCGUCGUAUGUUAUAUGUGUCAUACGAGACUGCCGGUAAAAAGCCGGAGGAAGGUGAGGAUGAUGUCAAGUCAGCAUGACCUUUAUAUCCAGGGCUACACACACGCUACAAUGGUCUGUACAAUGGGUAGCCAAGCCGCGAGGCGGAGCCAAUCCUGAAAGCAGGCCUCAGUUCAGAUUGCAGUCUGCAACUCGACUGCAUGAAGCCGGAGUUGCUAGUAACCGCAGGUCAGCAAUACUGCGGUGAAUACGUUCCCGGGUCUU
This 469-nucleotide ribosomal RNA is filed under the name uncultured Anaerolineaceae bacterium. RNAcentral describes it as "bacterial SSU rRNA". It matches the Rfam family "Bacterial small subunit ribosomal RNA", at positions 897 to 1382 of the family's 1533-position model. The record is from RNAcentral. Lineage: Bacteria; Bacillati; Chloroflexota; Anaerolineae; Anaerolineales; Anaerolineaceae.